UUAUGAAUCUUUUUACGUAAAAAUUGGGUAUUCAAUAAUUAGUAUCUCUCAUUCUAAAAUAUAGAUUACAUCGUACAUAAUAUGUGAGAAAUUGAGCAGAGAUCGUGUUGGAUUUUGUCAUUAAUGAUUUGUUCAGCUAACAAGUGAAUGUCUAUUGAUCCCACGAUAGGAAUUGUUAGAAAUCAAAAUUGCGAUAUUAAUAAAUCAGUUAAAUGUGAUCCAAUUUCACUGUUUUAGAGAUCUGUGUUUAAAGUGAUUUUUAUGGGAUGUGGUGAUGGUUCGUGUAUGCGAUGUAACAUUCGUAUUUAAAAAAUAUCAGUUGUGGCCAUUAUGUUAUUGGUUUAACCUGGAAUAAUAUGGAUCUUCUUGGUCUAUGCACUUUUCGACUGGAGGUUUCACAACUAGAUAGAUAUGUAUGGACUUGGUACGUGAUGAUGGAUUCGGUCUUGGCUGAAUUAGAUUUAACGGCUGGUUUGGAAUUCUUCCUAAAAUAAGUUUGAAUAUAUAGGUCCCGGGUUCUCCGCGAGAGAAACGGGUCACGCUUUUAUAUGUUCCGGAGUCGAAGACUAUCGGCCAGAUUGCGCCUUCCUUUACUAUCUCGAAGGAUGCCAGUUCAGUUCCAUCCCAUAUUACCAGUUUUUCAGGAGUUCGGUCCGGUGUUUAACCGUAUCCUUCACUUUUUAGUGUUUCACUCGAUAGGGCAGUGGUUCUCGACUAGAGGAGAAUGUGUGUUUUGGGCCAAUCGGAAUCAAUAAUGAAAUAAAAUGUCCAUUACAAAUUUUAUUUUUUGCCAUAAUGUUUAACUAAAAAGCAUUAUUUACGGUAGACUUUAUUUAUUUGUAUCGAAUUUUCAUUCCACUCGAUAUAAAC
Molecule: long non-coding RNA, 870 nt
Filed under: Androctonus crassicauda
Lineage: Eukaryota; Metazoa; Arthropoda; Arachnida; Scorpiones; Buthidae
Source: RNAcentral